GCUCAUGGCAUAUUCGGCAUAUUUUAUUUUCCAAAAUGUUAACAAAUAUAGCAAACAAAAUGGGGCUGUAUUUGAGGCCCACAGCGCCACACUCAUGAAUCGGUUGCAGGCUGAUGAUGUCUGACUGCGGCGUUUUCGUCGGUCAAAUUUGGCAAUCAAGCUGUGAAGGUGAAGAGAGUCUCUCCUCCUCCUCGAGUCACAGCUUUAGUCCACAAAUAUGCUCCAUUACCUGAACGUAUUUUACCGUUUAAAUGGAAAAGAAGAAACCUGUCCAUCUCGCCAGGUUAGCCGGUCUUUGUGAACUAGUGAAAAUGCUGGCGGUAACAACGACAUGAACAAAGUGAACCAAGUUUUCAACAUCCAAAUUCCCGGGUGAAAGAUCAAGUUUUGGAGACACAACCUCCACAUAGGUCAUGUUAGUGAGAGUGAAGCCGAGAUGGAGGACAUCUAUCAUAAGACGGAUGAAUACAACACUACAAACUUCCCGGGAGCUGUCCAUGGAUGACAGUGUGCUGUAGAGGACAUCAUCCUCCUCCACUUUGUGCUGUGUCGUCUGCUCUCCCCCGCCUCCUCUGUACUGUCUACUCUUCCUCCUCCAUCCUGUCUAACCACCCCUCCAGCCCAUCCCUUCAUUGUGUCUCCACCUGGUUUCCCUUUUCUCUGUUUCCACUGACUCUUUCUCUCUGUAAGUCUCAACAACUUACUCUCUUGGUGUCUGUCCCUCUUUUUUUUUUUUUUUCCUUUUUCAUCCAUGUCACUCACAUUUUUGUCGCUGUCAUUCUCAGUAUCUCUGUCACUCCUCCUCUGUCUCCCUCCUUUCUGCUCUCUCCCUGCCCCUGAUCUCUUGGAAGCUGAGUAGACACUGUUCAGUUCCUGUGGGACCUGGGUUAGCCAUAUUGUGUGACACCCUGAUGGCGCCUAAAGGCAACUUAACACACACACAUACAGUGCAAAUACAUGAACACAAUAGGAGAUUUCUC
Molecule: long non-coding RNA, 980 nt
Organism: Seriola aureovittata
Lineage: Eukaryota; Metazoa; Chordata; Actinopteri; Carangiformes; Carangidae
Exons: 3
Source: RefSeq, a predicted model, not a curated record